Molecule: ribosomal RNA, 253 nt
Filed under: uncultured bacterium
Lineage: Bacteria
Description: partial 16S ribosomal RNA
Rfam family: Bacterial small subunit ribosomal RNA
Source: RNAcentral
UACGGAGGGUGCAAGCGUUAUCCGGAAUCACUGGGUUUAAAGGGUGCGUAGGCGGCUUGAUAAGUCAGAGGUGAAAGCCUGGAGCUUAACUUCAGAACUGCCUUUGAUACUGUCGAGCUUGAAAGAGAUUGAGGUCAGCGGAACGUGACAUGUAGCGGUGAAAUGCAUAGAUAUGUCACAGAACACCAAUUGCGAAGGCAGCUGACUGGGUCUGCUUUGACGCUGAGGCACGAAAGCGUGGGGAGCGAACAGG